Molecule: long non-coding RNA, 410 nt
Organism: Acyrthosiphon pisum (pea aphid)
Lineage: Eukaryota; Metazoa; Arthropoda; Insecta; Hemiptera; Aphididae
Exons: 2
Source: RefSeq, a predicted model, not a curated record
GAUUUAUAUACACAACAAUAUUGCUUUGGAAAAUGUAUUGGUGUAUAAAUAUGGUAUGGAGUGAAAUGUCAUGAACUAACAACUUGAGAUUAAAAGCUAUGAUGAAGAUACAAGUUCUGACUUCUACAAUGAAUGGAUUGUUUAUAUAAUAUAUAAAGGAUGCAAUUAAUGGCUAUCCAGCGACAACACCGAGAACACGACACCCAUUCUACAUAUUCAUCAUCCGGUUGACAACGAUGCUUAUCUGAGUUCCAGUUACAGUAUAAACAUAUGUUUGUCAUGUCUUCGGAAUUUUCUAAUAGAUAGGUCUUUAAAUAUUCUCUAUAAGUGUUAGGAUCAAACUCUAAACUGAACUUGGAAUUGUCCAUAAAUUUAAAUGCGUAAUAUAUAAUAUAAACUCCACAAUUAAA